RNAcentral lists this ribosomal RNA (206 nucleotides) under uncultured bacterium. Its description in RNAcentral is "partial 16S ribosomal RNA". It matches the Rfam family "Bacterial small subunit ribosomal RNA", at positions 568 to 774 of the family's 1533-position model. The record is from RNAcentral.
UGCGUAGGCGGUCUUUUAAGUCAGAAGUGAAAGGCUACGGCUUAACCGUAGUAAGCUUUUGAAACUGGAGGACUUGAGUGCAGGAGAGGAGAGUGGAAUUCCUAGUGUAGCGGUGAAAUGCGUAGAUAUUAGGAGGAACACCAGUAGCGAAGGCGGCUCUCUGGACUGUAACUGACGCUGAGGCACGAAAGCGUGGGGAGCAAACA